AACGCUAGCUACAGGCUUAACACAUGCAAGUCGCGGGGCAGCAUGUAUCUGGCUUGCCAGAUACGAUGGCGACCGGCGCACGGGUGAGUAACGCGUAUCCAACCUGCCCACCACUUGGGGAUAACCUUGCGAAAGUAAGACUAAUACCCGAUGAUAUCUCUAGACGACAUCUGAAAGGGAUUAAAGAUUUAUCGGUGAUGGAUGGGGAUGCGUCUGAUUAGCUUGUUGGCGGGGUAACGGCCCACCAAGGCAACGAUCAGUAGGGGUUCUGAGAGGAAGGUCCCCCACAUUGGAACUGAGACACGGUCCAAACUCCUACGGGAGGCAGCAGUGAGGAAUAUUGGUCAAUGGGCGAGAGCCUGAACCAGCCAAGUAGCGUGCAGGACGACGGCCCUAUGGGUUGUAAACUGCUUUUAUAAGGGAAUAAAGUGAGUCUCGUGAGACUUCUUGCAUGUACCUUAUGAAUAAGGACCGGCUAAUUCCGUGCCAGCAGCCGCGGUAAUACGGAAGGUCCGGGCGUUAUCCGGAUUUAUUGGGUUUAAAGGGAGCGUAGGCCGGAGAUUAAGCGUGUUGUGAAAUGUAGACGCUCAACGUCUGCACUGCAGCGCGAACUGGUUUCCUUGAGUACGCACAAAGUGGGCGGAAUUCGUGGUGUAGCGGUGAAAUGCUUAGAUAUCACGAAGAACUCCGAUUG
RNAcentral lists this ribosomal RNA (694 nucleotides) under uncultured bacterium. Its description in RNAcentral is "bacterial SSU rRNA". It matches the Rfam family "Bacterial small subunit ribosomal RNA", at positions 32 to 715 of the family's 1533-position model. The record is from RNAcentral.